UUUUUUUUAGUUUCCUAUGAUCCAAAGUAGUCGCUGGAACAAAGUAGAUCUUUAAACACCUGUGUAAGUAGAUUCAAAACAAUAAGAAGUCAUUUAAUUGAUGGAAUGUAGCAUUAUGAAAAAUAUACAACAAAGUGAUUUUGCGUAUGCUGAGUCAUCUAUUUUGGAAUGGAGGGAGUAUGUUUGACACAUUCUACCACAAAGUGCCUGUCCAAAGGCUUCGGCACUGUGGCUCAUGUAGAAAACUGAAAAUGGCUCAACUGUAGUAGCAUGCAUGUCUAACAUCUUUUUUCCUUUCAUAAAGCAACGAAAGUUCAGAACAUACCAUCUUAAACCGGUGAGCGACUUGGUUUACAUUAUCUCCUAGGUGACCUGAGCUACAAAUUUAUUGUUUCCAUAAAUUAGGUAAAUAAUGUUUGUACAAUGAAUUUUAAAUGUAAAAGCAGCCUAGUAGAAAUUAAGGCAUAAUAUCAUGACGUGUGAAAAAGCUCAAUAAACUACAUCAACACAAGCAAAAUGACAGACAAAAUACAUGAUAAUAUUUUUUCGCCCAUGGAUAUGUACUUCCAAAUAGCUUUAUAUUAACAUCAUAUGCACGUGCUGAAGGAAAAUUUUAAUUAGAUCAACCAAGGCAAAAAUAUAUUGUGUAAGAUCUCAUCUCUUGUAAAAAGAAACUGGCGCAAAUAGAAAGCAGAAAUCUAAGACCAUUUAGGAAAAGAGUUAACCAGUUAAUCGGUAAAAGACAACAAUGUAAGAUGCCAUCAGUUAUAAAAAAACUGAUCAAGGAGCACAUAAAUCACUUCCCGCAGGGCGCCCUCCCCUGCCUCCAUCCUGAGCACCUCCAUCCCGUGAGCACUCAAGCCCUGGAUCCAUAGUCUCGAGCUCGCCCGAGCUCCGCCAUCUCUGCCUCGAGCUCUGAAAUCACCGCUACUAAUCAGACUCUUACUUGGAUACUUAACAAAAAAGAAUCAGAAAGGAAAUUUAUUUACCGAAACAACAUAAUGAAAUAUGAUAUAUAUCGUUCUUUAGAAUGAGAAGCUACAAAAUAGAAGAGGCAUAAGUUUAUAUGGAAGUAUUCAUAUAUCCUAGGCCGGGUUUUUACAGAGCAAUCACGGACAUGCCUUUAUACGUCUAUACAAAAUGAUCUGCGCAAGAAGGCUGCACAUAUGGAAGUAUUCAUAUAUCCUAGGCCGGGUUUUUACAGAGCAAUCACGGGCAUGCUGUUAUACAUCUAUACAAAAUGAUCUGCGCGAGAAGGCUGCUGUAAAAGUAGCAAGGAUUAAAGUAAAAAAUGCAUCACAACAAUUCAUUACUAAACAACGGAAUGAAAUACGAUAGCUAUCAAUCCUGGUAACAGGAAGCUACGAAAUAUAAGACGACCACAUUUAUAUUAUUAUUUUGCGGGUAGAGGAUAACAUUUAUAUGGAAACAUUCAAAUAUCCUAGGUCUGUAUUUUGACCAUGUAAUCACGGAUAUGUCGUUAUACCCCCACCUUCUCCUUUUACUCCGCAUACAAGUUUGGUCAAACUGAAAAAUGGAAAUGCAUUAUGUUUGAACACUGAAACCCCUCCUUGCAAAAGAAUCAAUUAGAGCACCGGUCCUCAUUCAAUCUGAUCUGACUGUGAGCUAUUUUUGUUCUCUAUAAUUUAGCUUGGGGUUUCCACUUGUGUAGAACUGUAACAAAUAAAGCAGGGCAUGUAGCAUGGGUGCAGCUCCUGUGCUGGGCACUAUUGACAUGCUUUGCACACGUAUAACAGGCAUGGGCAAAGGUGAGAGGGUCAUGGUGUACUGCACGGCCUGGAUGUGCACUGUGUGUAUGCGUGAGGCUGUAAAGGAGAACAACAAUGUGUAGCUUCUCGCUUCAGUCAUAAACAGAAAAAUACAAAAACAAACUCAACACAAAGCUAGUGCUGGGGGAAAACCAUCGAGUACCUUGUAUACAUCCUUUCUCUGGUUGAUUCUUGCUAUCGAUUCCUCUACGACGAGCCAAGAUCUGAGUCUCAUGUGUGUCCACAGGGGGAAAACAGAGGCGAGCGAGACUCCAGGCCUGUCAAUCUCCUUCAUUAUCAGCUAAUUUGAAUGGUUGUUGCCAGUAAGUGAAAUGGGAAUUGUACAUCAAGAUUCACGUAGCAGAAACGAAUUACCAGAGGGAGAUGGGUAGUCUGCAAAUGGUACAAAGGAUCUCUUUUGAGCUGAUCUGCUCCAAACGACUGGUUCAAACUGAACAAGGAAAUAAGCAAAUGGACAAGUCAUUAGAAACAACCUUGCGCAAAAUAAUUUGAAACAUCAUUAUGCAGUUUACUGUCAUUAGAAACAACCUUGCAUAAUAGUAUAAUUUAGUUCCAAAGUAUGUCCAGAGAUACAGGGGUACAGAUCUAGUACAUUUUAGUUUCAGAGUAUGGUCCAGAAUCAUACUAAAUCUACAAAACCAGUAUCCUUAUCUGAAAGCACCCACACAGUUCAUUUGAUAGAUGCAUUCAGCGGUAAAAGAAAAAAAGGAUGUUAGCAAAUUAGAGCUGCACACAC
RNAcentral lists this long non-coding RNA (2526 nucleotides) under Triticum aestivum (bread wheat). RNAcentral describes it as "long non-coding RNA (TAES_LNC020995)". The record is from RNAcentral. Lineage: Eukaryota; Viridiplantae; Streptophyta; Magnoliopsida; Poales; Poaceae.